RNAcentral lists this ribosomal RNA (460 nucleotides) under uncultured bacterium. RNAcentral describes it as "partial 16S ribosomal RNA". It matches the Rfam family "Bacterial small subunit ribosomal RNA", at positions 338 to 795 of the family's 1533-position model. The record is from RNAcentral.
CCUACGGGAGGCAGCAGUGAGGAAUAUUGGUCAAUGGGCGGGAGCCUGAACCAGCCAAGUCGCGUGAGGGAAGACGGUCCUAUGGAUUGUAAACCUCUUUAGGCGGGGAGCAAUGCCGGGCACGCGUGCCCGGAGGGAGAGUACCCGCAGAAUAAGCAUCGGCUAACUCCGUGCCAGCAGCCGCGGUAAUACGGAGGAUGCGAGCGUUAUCCGGAUUUAUUGGGUUUAAAGGGUGCGUAGGCGGGCUUUUAAGUCAGCGGUAAAAAUUCGGGGCUCAACCCCGUCCGGCCGUUGAAACUGGGGGCCUUGAGUUCACAACAGGCAGGCGGAAUUCGUGGUGUAGCGGUGAAAUGCAUAGAUAUCACGAGGAACCCCGAUUGCGAAGGCAGCCUGCCGGGGUGCGACUGACGCUGAGGCUCGAAGGUGCGGGUAUCAAACAGGAUUAGAUACCCCUGUAGUC